RNAcentral lists this long non-coding RNA (446 nucleotides) under Panax ginseng (ginseng). RNAcentral describes it as "long non-coding RNA (PGIN_LNC018859)". The record is from RNAcentral. Lineage: Eukaryota; Viridiplantae; Streptophyta; Magnoliopsida; Apiales; Araliaceae.
AAACUUGUACAAUAAAAAAUUAGUAUCCUUUUCUCUCUCCUCUUCGCGUAUAUAAACAUAAACAUUGGAGUCUCCUUCAAUUCACAAUCUCGACCCAUUUUUAUUCGUCUCCAACAUUACAUAUAUAAGAACCACAAAACUUUAAGAGAGAGAAUUCGAGCAGCAGAAAAGAUGCAGGCGGAUUUGGACCUGAUCAGCUCAUCUUCGAGCUUACAUUCGCAUGACGAUAAUCAAUUUGCGGAGGAUUUUGACUUCAAGCUUAAUAUAUUCUCCUCGGAUGUUACUCAGUUGAAAUAUGAUGAGGAAAGUACUGAAGAUUAUGGCCAACAACAACAAGGAGAAGAUGAGCUUGAACAUGAUGAAGAGGAAGAUUAUGAGGAUGAUGAGGAUUUUAGUUUCGUAAUUAACGGAUCCGACUCGUCGCCGAUUUCCGCCGAUAGCGUUUU